CCGACAUGGACAUCCAGAGAGUUGCUCUCCUGGCUCUGUCCUGGUGGCGUAUGGGAGCGUAGCUCUGAGCCGAGACGUACAGUCCCGUUCCACAAUGUCGGACAGAAAGCUCCGUCCCCGGCUGCCGGUGAGGACGAGCGUCCUGCAUAUUCCUACAUCUUUCCAGAGUCCUUUGGGGCCAUUACUGGGGAGCUAAACCAUGCAGUGCACAGCU
RNAcentral lists this small nucleolar RNA (214 nucleotides) under Oreochromis aureus. RNAcentral describes it as "Small nucleolar RNA SNORA73 family (ENSOABG00000014977.2)". It matches the Rfam family "Small nucleolar RNA SNORA73 family". From Rfam's summary of the family: U17 (SNORA73A and SNORA73B) also known as E1 belongs to the H/ACA class of small nucleolar RNAs (snoRNAs). Vertebrate U17 is intron-encoded and ranges in length from 200-230 nucleotides, longer than most snoRNAs. Lineage: Eukaryota; Metazoa; Chordata; Actinopteri; Cichliformes; Cichlidae. The record is from Rfam by way of RNAcentral.